AACGAACGCUGGCGGCAUGCCUAACACAUGCAAGUCGAACGAGACCUUCGGGUCUAUUGGCGCACGGGUGAGUAACGCGUGGGAACCUGCCCUUAGGUUCGGAACAACCCCCCGAAAGGGGUGCAAAAACCGGAUAAUGUCUUCGGACCAAAGAUUGAUCGCCUUUGGAUGGGCCCGAGUUGGAUUAGUUAGUUGGUAGGGUAAAAGCCUACCAAGGCGACGAUCCAUAGCUGGUCUGAGAGGAUGAUCAGCCACACUGGGACUGAGAAACGGCCCAGACUCCUGCGGGAUGCAGCAGUGGGUAAUAUUGGCCAAUGGGCGGAAGCCUGAUCCAGCAAUGCCGCGUGAGUGAUGAAGGCCUUAGGGUUGUAAAGCUCUUUUACCCGGGAUGAUAAUGACAGUACCGGGAGAAUAAGCUCCGGCUAACUCCGUG
This 433-nucleotide ribosomal RNA is filed under the name uncultured bacterium. Its description in RNAcentral is "partial 16S ribosomal RNA". It matches the Rfam family "Bacterial small subunit ribosomal RNA", at positions 29 to 507 of the family's 1533-position model. The record is from RNAcentral.